RNAcentral lists this ribosomal RNA (253 nucleotides) under uncultured bacterium. Its description in RNAcentral is "partial 16S ribosomal RNA". It matches the Rfam family "Bacterial small subunit ribosomal RNA", at positions 524 to 776 of the family's 1533-position model. The record is from RNAcentral.
UACGUAGGGUGCGAGCGUUGUCCGGAAUUAUUGGGCGUAAAGAGCUCGUAGGCGGUUUGUUGCGUCGGCCGUGAAAACCUGCAGCUUAACUGUGGGCCUGCGGCCGAUACGGGCAGACUUGAGUUCGGUAGGGGAGACUGGAAUUCCUGGUGUAGCGGUGAAAUGCGCAGAUAUCAGGAGGAACACCGGUGGCGAAGGCGGGUCUCUGGGCCGAUACUGACGCUGAGGAGUGAAAGCAUGGGGAGCGAACAGG